AUUGAACGCUGGCGGCAUGCCUUACACAUGCAAGUCGAACGGCAGCACGGGGGCAACCCUGGUGGCGAGUGGCGAACGGGUGAGUAAUACAUCGGAACGUGCCCCGUAGCGGGGGACAACCAGUCGAAAGACUGGCUAAUACCGCAUACGCUCCACGGAGGAAAGCGAGGGGAUCGCAAGACCUUGCACUAGUGGGAGCGGCCGAUGCCCGAUUAGCUAGUUGGUGAGGUAAGGCUCACCAAGGCAACGAUCGGUAGCUGGUCUGAGAGGACGACCAGCCGCACUGGGACUGAGACACGGCCCAGACUCCGUACGGGAGGCAGCAGGUGGGGUAAUUUUGGACAAUGGGCGCAAGCCUGAUCCAGCCAUGCCGCGU
RNAcentral lists this ribosomal RNA (376 nucleotides) under uncultured bacterium. RNAcentral's name for it is "bacterial SSU rRNA". It matches the Rfam family "Bacterial small subunit ribosomal RNA", at positions 29 to 402 of the family's 1533-position model. The record is from RNAcentral.